UACAGAGGGUGCGAGCGUUGUUCGGAAUUAUUGGGCGUAAAGGGCGCGUAGGCAGUGCGGUAAGUCUGUAGUGAAAUCUCCGAGCUCAACUCGGAGCCUGCUACGGAAACUGCCGUGCUUGAGUGUGGGGGAGGUGAGUGGAAUUCUCGGUGUAGCGGUGAAAUGCGUAGAUAUCGGGAGGAACACCUGUGGCGAAAGCGGCUCACUAGACCACAACUGACGCUGAGGCGCGAAAGCUAGGGGAGCAAACAG
This 252-nucleotide ribosomal RNA is filed under the name uncultured bacterium. Its description in RNAcentral is "partial 16S ribosomal RNA". It matches the Rfam family "Bacterial small subunit ribosomal RNA", at positions 524 to 775 of the family's 1533-position model. The record is from RNAcentral.